GGUAGGGUGGCCGAACAUAGGUGGUGGGUUGUAGCCCCAAAGAUAAAGGUUUAAGUCCUUUCCCUAUCA
RNAcentral lists this transfer RNA (69 nucleotides) under Denticeps clupeoides (denticle herring). It matches the Rfam family "tRNA". Rfam says of the family: Transfer RNA (tRNA) molecules are approximately 80 nucleotides in length. Lineage: Eukaryota; Metazoa; Chordata; Actinopteri; Clupeiformes; Denticipitidae. The record is from Rfam by way of RNAcentral.